Lagopus leucura (white-tailed ptarmigan) is the source of this 1135-nucleotide long non-coding RNA. RefSeq lists it as uncharacterized. NCBI's taxonomy places the organism in Eukaryota, Metazoa, Chordata, Aves, Galliformes, Phasianidae. The transcript is spliced from 6 exons. The record is from RefSeq and is a predicted model, not a curated record.
CUUUCCUCUGUAAUAGAGAAGAAAGGAACAAAGUUCAACUUCAGCUUUGGUGUUUUCUGAGAUCAGAGUUGAAGGCAGUUUCAGCUUUGGUGGCACAAGGGCUGAUUUCUCUAAGGUCAGCUCUUCCCUCUGAGCACAGCUGACUGGCUUGCUGAACCGUGGUCUUCAUAUAUGUACACUUAUAAUUGCAUUUAUUUAUACAAAUGCAUAAUAUAGAGAAUGCAGUUUCAUCUUCCAGGACCCCGUUCAAGUCUACAGGGCCAGGAUAAGAGCAUCCCAGCGCUCAGAACUGGCUGAGCUGCUCUCCGUGUCUGAAGAAUGGUGACUGUCAGGUGAAGUUCUCAAGGCCUGGAUUUGGAUGGGCAAAGUGCAACAGCUACAGCAGGGACAGAUGCUUUGAUGGAACGGCCCGAUCAGGAAGAUUGAAGAAUGCAGGUGGCUCUCACCUGGAGAAGGCUGUGAUGCUCCUGGGGAACUGGUGCCACCAGAUAAAGCUCAUUCCUGAGCUCAAGCUUGUUGCCUCCUGCUCAGCAACUGAUAAGGGAGCAGCGAUGCUUGCUUGGCCAUGAAAUAACACAGGGGAACUCCAGUAAGACAGCUUUUUCCAGGUGUCAACGAAUGGCAACGGGGGUCAUUUUUUCUGCAUGGAGGGAUUUCAUAUCACACCUUUGCUGCAUCCUCACUACCAUGUCAGACAGCAUUCUGUCAGACUGCCCCUCUGCUGCCAUCCAUCACACGACAAGAAAACAUAGCAGCAUGUUGGUGGAAAGGUUUAACCUCUGCUGCCAUAGCACCAACAUCUGCUGCCAGCUGCCACUGUGGGCCGACAGCUUAAGAUAGGAGGCAUUACUUUUGGAGCAGCCCUGCUGAAGAAUAUGGUUUGUGUACACAGGCUGGAAGGAAAGCAGAGAAACAAAACAAAGAAAACACCAACAAAUUGGAAGAAUGAAGAGUGAGGAGGAAUUGAAGUGUCCACAGAGUUCACAGUGUGGGUGACUGGAAGUGAUGGGGGAAAGGCAGCGAAUGCUGCUUGUGUAACACACAGCACUGGGUCUGAAUGCAGGACUGCUCUGCCUGUGUCCAUGUGCAGCACUUGGUAACAAGUGUUUGUGCUGUGUGCUCUGCUGUGCACCCA